CUGGAUAAAGCACACCACGUGAUGGAGCACAGCAACAUGGCCACCUCUGCUAACCACUACAGAAUCUCAAGACAAACUUAACCACAAAGCUUUUACCGUCUUAAUACCUGAUGUACACCACGGAAGAUCUAUUGAGGCACUGCAACAUCAGUUGCUGAAAUCUUCCAUCAGGUUUGAAGAUUUCUGGAGUACAAUAAAAAUGGACACCGAAAUUGCUUAAGUAACUCAGUGCCCUCUUACAGCAAAUUCAAUUUAGGUGCUUUACUGAUGUGUGUCGGCACAUCUACCAUCAUUCCACCAUGUGCCAAAAGCUAUCACAUCCCAAUCACCCUGCAAAAGGCCAGUGAGAGCCUGCAGCUCCUAACAUGACUUGCUAAUACACCAUGAGGUUCUAAGCA
Numida meleagris (helmeted guineafowl) is the source of this 398-nucleotide long non-coding RNA. RefSeq lists it as uncharacterized. The record is from RefSeq and is a predicted model, not a curated record. The transcript has 2 exons. NCBI's taxonomy places the organism in Eukaryota, Metazoa, Chordata, Aves, Galliformes, Numididae.